UGUGAAAGGUCCUGGCUCAACCAGGGACGUGCGUCCCAUACUGUGGGGCUUGAGUACAGGAGAGGAUGGGGGAAUUCCCGGUGUAGCGGUGAAAUGCAUUGAUAUCGGGAGGAACACCAGUGGCGAAGGCGCCCAUCUGGCCUGUUACUGACGCUCAGGCGCGAAAGCUGGGGGAGCAAACAGGAUUAGAUACCCUGGUAGUCCCAGCCGUAAACGGUGAACACUAGGUGUGGGGGGCAUCGACCCCUUCCGUGCCGCAGCUAACGCAUUAAGUGUUCCGCCUGGGGAGUACGACCGCAAGGUUGAAACUCAAAGGAAUUGGCGGGGCCCCGCACAAGCGGUGGAGCAUGUGGCUUAAUUCGAUGCAACGCGAAGAACCUUACCUGGGCUUGACAUGCACUGGACCGGGACAGAGAUGUCCCUUCCCUUCGGGGCCGGUGCACAGGUGCUGCAUGGCUGUCGUCAGCUCGUGUCGUGAGAUGUUCGGUUAAGUCCGGCAACGAGCGCAACCCCUGUCCUUAGUUGCCAGCAUUCAGUUGGGGACUCUAAGGAGACAACCCUGCUUAGCAGGGGGGAAGGUGGGGAUGACGUCAAGUCCGCAUGGCCCUGACGCCUGGGGCGACACACACGCUACAAUGGCCGGCACAAUGCGCUGCAAGACCGUAAGGUGGAGCUAAUCGCCAAAGCCGGUCCCAGUUC
Molecule: ribosomal RNA, 699 nt
Filed under: uncultured bacterium
Lineage: Bacteria
Description: bacterial SSU rRNA
Rfam family: Bacterial small subunit ribosomal RNA
Source: RNAcentral